Exaiptasia diaphana is the source of this 1424-nucleotide long non-coding RNA. RefSeq lists it as uncharacterized. NCBI's taxonomy places the organism in Eukaryota, Metazoa, Cnidaria, Anthozoa, Actiniaria, Aiptasiidae. The record is from RefSeq and is a predicted model, not a curated record. The transcript is spliced from 3 exons.
AUAAUCUUUUCAUUUUAAUAGAAUGCAAAAAAGGAUGAUGCAUGCAGGAAAGCAUACAAAUAUCUAGCAAGUCUACAUGAGAAUUGUAAAGAACUUAUCCAAUCAGUUGAAGAUACUGGUGUAAUAAUGAGAGAGAUUAGAGAUCUUGAAGAGCAGAUUGAUAAUGAGACACAAAAGAACACUGCUAUGAACCUAGAAAGAAUUACAGCAGACUACAAACAAAUGAAAGAAGAAAAUACAGUUCUUGCUAAGAAAUUCAAGGCACAGAAGUCAUAGAAUUCAUAGAAGUCAUAGAGCAAUAUGUAUGGUGAGAGCCAUUAUUUUGUUAUAAUUACAAAACAUAAAUGAUUUAUUUUUUUAUAAAAUCUGCAAUAUCAGAUGGACAAAUUAUGGACAUUGGAGUGAAAAAAAGUUUAGUCRAUGAAAAGAAUUGGAUUCAAUUAUAAUGUUCCUAGGCCAUCCUCUUGGUUUGAGGAAGAURUCUCUGUGGGUAGACUUAUAGUUCUUAAAACAUCCACGAAAUAAAGUCUUUAGUUAUGAGAAAUAAAUUAUUAAAAUACACCAGAGAAAAAUGUAAUAAAAUAUUGCAAUCAAGUUAAAAAAUUCAAUAAAAACAAUGCUAAUAAUUGAUUUUUAGGUCUUUUGUUGCCGUAUUUUUAUUAUCAUUUAAUCCUGACCAUAAAAAUUUGUAUACAGUGCAACUACUUGCAGAAACGUUUGUCAUAGAAAAUAAGGGGUAUCAAAUGGUAAAAUUCGAGCCUGCGAGCUCCUCGUUUUAAAAUCAAAGAUAUUUCGGCAAUUGCGAGCUUCCAAGCCAAAAGCAAUUUCAAAUCCAAGCGCCUUUCAUUUAGGCACCGAGGUUGCAAGCCUUGGGCAAUUUGUAACGAGCCUCGCAAUUUCUGAGACACCAUUCUAUACCCAUAAAAUAGAACAUUUGAAUUUAGUAAAAAGGAAUAAAUUAAAACAGAAAAGACAAAAAAGAGCAUUCAGCUUCAGUGAUCUUCUUUUGUCUUUUUAAUUUAUUCCUUACUAAGUUCAAAUAAUUUAAUGUCCUUGCUAGUAGUACUUUCUAUAUGACAAACGUUCCCACAAGUAGGUGUAUAAUUWAACAGUUAUUAAUAAUAAUUGCUUUAGACAGUUUAACUGUCAUCAUUAAGAGAAAAAUACUUAAAUGUCUAACAAUAAUAUGCAGUUGUAUGAUAGUGUUUUAUUACAACUACCAAGAACCCUUGCAUAUUUUCUUUGUUCUUCAGAUUUUGAAUCUUUUUGGAGAUUAGUAAAACAAUUUGGACGCUAUAAUUACAUUACAAAAGAAAGUAUUCUGGUAGUUAUAAUUCAAUCUCACAAUAAUGCAAAUUGCAAGUAUGAAAUUCAUGGAUAAUUAGUACAUAAAUUGUCAUGUAAUAAAAUGAAUUGAUUUGAAA